UACGGAGGGGGCUAGCGUUGUUCGGAAUUACUGGGCGUAAAGCGCACGUAGGCGGAUUGGUAAGUUGGGGGUGAAAUCCCGGGGCUCAACCUCGGAACUGCCUCCAAAACUGUCAGUCUGGAGUUCGGGAGAGGUGAGUGGAAUUCCGAGUGUAGCGGUGAAAUUCGUAGAUAUUCGGAGGAACACCAGUGGCGAAGGCGGCGCACUGGCCCGAUACUGACGCUGAGGUGCGAAAGCGUGGGGAGCAAACAGG
This 253-nucleotide unclassified non-coding RNA is filed under the name uncultured Rhodobacterales bacterium. RNAcentral's name for it is "contains 16S-23S intergenic spacer region". It matches the Rfam family "Bacterial small subunit ribosomal RNA", at positions 524 to 776 of the family's 1533-position model. The record is from RNAcentral. Lineage: Bacteria; Pseudomonadati; Pseudomonadota; Alphaproteobacteria; Rhodobacterales.